Molecule: ribosomal RNA, 253 nt
Filed under: uncultured bacterium
Lineage: Bacteria
Description: partial 16S ribosomal RNA
Rfam family: Bacterial small subunit ribosomal RNA
Source: RNAcentral
UACGGUGGUGGCUAGCGUUGUUCGGAAUUACUGGGCGUAAAGCGCACGUAGGCGGUCUUUUAAGUCAGAGGUGAAAGCCCGGGGCUCAACUCCGGAAUUGCCUUUGAAACUGGAAGACUUGAACACGGGAGAGGUGAGUGGAAUUCCGAGUGUAGAGGUGAAAUUCGUAGAUAUUCGGAGGAACACCAGUGGCGAAGGCGGCUCACUGGACCGUUGUUGACGCUGAGGUGCGAAAGCGUGGGGAGCAAACAGG